This is a long non-coding RNA of Heterocephalus glaber (naked mole-rat), 481 nucleotides long. The record is from Ensembl. NCBI's taxonomy places the organism in Eukaryota, Metazoa, Chordata, Mammalia, Rodentia, Bathyergidae.
CAUAUUCCCAUGGACUUUGGAAAGGCAGGGGUUAGAAUUCAGAGGAAAUGUGUGCAGGAUGGUGUGAAGAACACAGUGUGCUUUACCUGUGCACUCAUCAGUGUUACAAUCAGAUAGUACAGCGGAGCAAUCAGAAAAUAAUCUUAGUAAACUGUAACUAUGAAAGUCCAAUUAGUUACGGUUGAGCAGAGAAUUCGGAGCAGGAUUUCGGAGUAAAUAGACAACAUCAUGCACUUAACCAAGAACACUACAAGAACAAUUGCCUAAAGCAAGAAAGCAAGCUGUUGGAUCUACUGAGAUACCAUAACACUACCAUGCUUUGGCUGCCCUCAGUUCUGUUUUGCUGAUGGACUGGACAUCACACUCAUCCUGGGAAUACUGGCAUCAGUGGUAAAUGGAGCUUGCCUCCCUUUAAUGUCACUGCUUUUAGGAGAAAUAAGUGAUCACCUAACUAGUGGAUGUCUAGUCCAAACCAACACAA